AGGACAAAGAUCUGAAAGGGUGGUGGGUGGAGAAGCAAGGUAGCAAAGGUUCCUCCCCUUCCCGGGCAUUUCGAACGAAGCGGCCGCUCGGCGUGACUCCGCAUCGCCGGGCCCGCCUCCCAGGUGUAAAAUGCGGAGCGACUUAUAGGUGGCAGAGCAGAACCUGGUACGCGCCGUGAUUUAUUUUAAUAGCGCUGCAUAGAGCGACAAGUUGUAAUGUGACAGCUCAACAACGUGUUGGAAAAUAACACGCUGCUCCGCAGCUGGGAAUUCCUCAUGAUUUAUGUAGCCCGACAAAGUCGUUUCAGUCCUGGCCCCUCUUUCCUUCUGUCGUAAGCACGCCCUGUAUAGGGGUAAGAUGUGAACAGGUAGGCAAUACUGUGUGCUUUUGCUGCGGGAGAGAAGUAGUCAAAACCUUAACUUCAGUUUUAGGUAUGCUACUGUGCAUAUAGUAGCGUUGCUUGAUCUCGUCCGGAUGUUUGUAAUGUUAUAACUGUUGCUCUCCAAUAAAAUCUUUAUUUAUUUAUUUAUUUUUAAAGUGAUUUGCUGUAAUAUAUACAUAUAUUUUUNNNNNNNNNNGCUCAGGCGCUUGCGGCGCCGUCGGAAGACGCCGUCGGCGAAGGUGUACUCGCUGCUGGGGUUGAGCAUCCAGUAGUUGUCCUUGCCCCAGGGCCGCGCCGGGUCGCGCAGCACCUUGACGAAGCAGUCGUUGAGCGAGAGGUUGUGGCGCACCGAGUUGCGCCAGCCCGUGUAGGCGCCGCGGAAGAAGGGGAAGCGGCUCAUCAGGUUCCUCCCCUUCCCGGGCAUUUCGAACGAAGCGGCCGCUCGGCGUGACUCCGCAUCGCCGGGCCCGCCUCCCAGGUGUAAAAUGCGGAGCGACUUAUAGGUGGCAGAGCAGAACCUGGUACGCGCCGUGAUUUAUUUUAAUAGCGCUGCAUAGAGCGACAAGUUGUAAUGUGACAGCUCAACAACGUGUUGGAAAAUAACACGCUGCUCCGCAGCUGGGAAUUCCUCAUGAUUUAUGUAGCCCGACAAAGUCGUUUCAGUCCUGGCCCCUCUUUCCUUCUGUCGUAAGCACGCCCUGUAUAGGGGUAAGAUGUGAACAGGUAGGCAAUACUGUGUGCUUUUGCUGCGGGAGAGAAGUAGUCAAAACCUUAACUUCAGUUUUAGGUAUGCUACUGUGCAUAUAGUAGCGUUGCUUGUUCUCGUCCGGAUGUUUGUAAUGUUAUAACUGUUGCUCUCCAAUAAAAUCUUUAUUUAUUUAUUUAUUUUUAAAGUGAUUUGCUGUAAUAUAUACAUAUAUUUUUAACAUCGUGGCUCUAUAAAUUUUCUGUAAUGCCUGGCACAAAAGUGUUCUGUAAUUUUAUCUAGAUACUUUUCUUGCUAGAAAAAGUGACCAUGACUUUUCUGCUUAAUUGUAGCUUUGCACUUGCCAGGGUCUUAGGCUCCUUCAGCAGUCAGAAGUUCGAUCCUCCUUGUCUGUUGGACAGAACAGCUCAAUGAAGAGAGCAAGACAGCAGUAACUUCUCUGUAAACUCAGUUCAGUCCUGCCCUGCUCUUCAUUCAAAGUCAGUUGCAAAACCCCAUUUGACUUCCUACAGCAGUAGUGCUAGCAUCUACAGAACUAUAACAAAACAAAAAUAUCAGCAGAAAUCUAGCGUGAUGCUUAUAUUUUAUUUUUCAUCUGUAUACUUUGAAUUUUGUGUCCUAGAGUAAGUGUUAGAUUGCUCCAUAUUUUCCCAAAGCAGUUUUUCUAAAUCAGACUUUGUUUUAGAAUAAAUGCUUAAAAUUGCAGAGUCACUCUACCUAGGACUGUGCUCCUGCGGUCUGGCUGUCAAGGUGUGUUGGGGAGGAACUUAAAAGAAGUCGAAUUUGAAAGGCUAACAGAAGAAAAAAACAGUCCUACUUUUCUUUCCCCAUCUCUCUUGAAUAGAAUAUAUACAUUCCCACACACACCUGCAAAGUGUUUCAAAGCUUUGACAUUUUUUUUUUUUCAGUUUGUGUGGGUCUUAAAUACUGAACAAUGAGAGGUCGUUCUGUCCAUUUGGUUGUACUCUAACUUUAAUAAUGGAUUUGAUGUCUUCCUGUUCCCACUAAAGCUGUACUAGUUCAGAAAAAUGGGUAAUUGAAUGACAAAAAUAAGAGGAGGGAGACCUCUCUUGGUUUCUUGUUGUUGUCUCUCUGUAAUGUAAACAGAUCUUUCACUGCAUUAGCUGUAGGUGCCAAUGUUUGUGUUUAAGGGUAUGGGAAAAAGCCAUCAUUCCUUCCAAAACUUGUAUUUUCUAAGAUGAUGCCAAUGGCGAGGGUAGGUUUUUCCUCUUCCUGCUUUUGUUGUAAAUAGCAGUGAAGUAGCGAUGAUUUGCUAGCUUACCUUUGAUGUUUAUUUUAUUACCGUUCCACUAUUUGUGUGGAAAAUGUACACAUUGUCUCUUAUCUUUAUUCAAAGAACUUAAAAAGUCAUUCAAAUGCUGUAGGUAAACACGUCAGACAUAACAGAAGCUUUUCACAGCCAUACUUCAAGAUGAGGAGCGGAUAGCAAAGCUGGUUUUGCAAGAUUUAAGAAGGGACAGAAGCUUGUGUUAAAAAUAAUACAAUUAAAGAUAGCUAUUAAUGGAGGAGAGUACCUUUCUAAGAUGAGUGUUGAUUCUUGUGUGGGCUCAAGGCCUCUGUGCUGCCUCUCAGCAUGUCCCUGUAUAAACUGACCCUGAAAUCUAUGGUGUCUCUUACCCGACAAAACAGAUGAAGGUGCUUAUGUGAGAUCUGUGCUGGGUUUAAAUAGAGCCUUCCUGGUCCAAGUCGGAGUGGAGUCAAGCCCAUUGCUAUUGCUGCCCAUGAAAGAACGGGUGUAGUUUUUAAGAAGUGGUGAAAUAGUACAACUCCUCCUGUCUCUCACCACUGAGAGUAUAUGUAACCUCAAGUCUUUUCCUGCUAUAGUUUUUUAAAAGGCACAGUAUCGCCUUCAGGUUUAUAAAGAUUAACACAAUCAUCGGAAAAACUGAUUCUGUUAAGUAAACUUCACAUCAAAAGCGCUUUGAUGUGCUGUAUUAUAGCAAAGCCAAACACUCCACCCCCAUCACCCCAAGAAAAACCUCCAAAAACUUCUCGUGAAGCAAUGUAAAAAAAAUCUAGAUUCUUUGUUCUAAAAUGAAAUGUCUCUUCCUCUCUAGCGCAGCAGAGUAGGAUUUUUUUGAUGUAUGACCCCCUCUUUUCCUACCCAGAACAGUACCUAGUCAAAGACAAAGAGGAGAAAUGUGAAUGGUUGCUUGCAAAUCACACGGCCAACUUUGCUUCCCAUGUUCAGUAGUAUUCCACUCCUGUACUUCACAAACAGCAAGAGUACGCCAAUGUGUGUUUGAGGGUAGGGCAGUUUGCUCAGCCUUAGAGUUCUAAAAAUAUUCAUUACUACAUGCAGCAAAACACUACACAGUCUGGUGGUUGUGGGCAUGUUUUUGGUUGAUCCAGUUGUGUUGCCUUCAUGGUGUUCUAAGCCAUGAUUUUGCUUUAUGCUCCAGUGAAAAUU
RNAcentral lists this long non-coding RNA (3520 nucleotides) under Anas zonorhyncha (Eastern spot-billed duck). RNAcentral describes it as "lncRNA (ENSAZOG00000011803.1)". Lineage: Eukaryota; Metazoa; Chordata; Aves; Anseriformes; Anatidae. The record is from RNAcentral.